RNAcentral lists this ribosomal RNA (294 nucleotides) under uncultured Borrelia sp. RNAcentral's name for it is "partial 23S ribosomal RNA". It matches the Rfam family "Bacterial large subunit ribosomal RNA", at positions 2018 to 2318 of the family's 2925-position model. Lineage: Bacteria; Pseudomonadati; Spirochaetota; Spirochaetia; Spirochaetales; Borreliaceae. The record is from RNAcentral.
GUCUCAACGUGGAGCUCGGUGAAAUUGAAGUAUCGGUGAAGAUGCCGAUUACUUGUGGUUAGACGGAAAGACCCCGUGAACCUUUACUAUAGCUUGGUAUUGAAAUUUGGUUAAGUAUGCUGUAGGAUAGGUGGGAGACUUUGAAGCUAUCUCGUUAGGGAUAGUGGAGUCGCACUUGAAAUACCACCCUUGUUUAAUUAAGUUUCUAACUCAUAGUGAUAUGAGGAGAGUGCCAGGUGGGUAGUUUGACUGGGGCGGUCGCCUCCUAAAGAGUAACGGAGGUGCGCAAAGGUU